RNAcentral lists this long non-coding RNA (3641 nucleotides) under Nicotiana benthamiana. RNAcentral's name for it is "long non-coding RNA (NBEN_LNC010979)". Lineage: Eukaryota; Viridiplantae; Streptophyta; Magnoliopsida; Solanales; Solanaceae. The record is from RNAcentral.
UUUUCGAUUCGAGUCUUGUCGUAGAGGUUGAAAGUCACAGUUUCAGUUGGCGUUUUCAUUUCCGAUUUGUCGAGGUUAUCAAAAGGUUUAUCUCUUUUCAUCACUUUUAUUAAUCCAUAGAUACAUUUCGUGUUUCAUGUUUUUGAACUUGCUAUGAUUUUAAUCGUGGCUAUAUAUUGUUACUUUGUUUAAUUUGUUCUUGGAAUAGUUGAAUUAAUUUGUUAUGAUUUUAAUCUAAGUUAGUUCCACUGAAUUAUGUUUUAUUAGACGUGUUCUAUACAUUUGAAAUUGAACACAUGACAUAAUUAGUUUUAAUGGAUAUACAUAUAGCGACACUUUGAGGGGUUGGAUCGGAGAAAUAAUCUAUGAAAAUUAGAAUUGGCUCUUGAUCAUAAACUGAGAACCAAAUCUUAAUAUACUUUUAUUGUUAAUCUCUAGGAGUAUGCUUAGACCGACUACACUUGAGUAGGCAAAUCUUAGAAUCUUUGUUACCUUCGAGGCGGGAGGUCGUUUCCUUUGUUAAGUUUAUCAGGGGAAUUCCCCGCAUAAUUUGUAUAUAUUUUAUUUCAAGGAAUGCCCCGAAGAAUUUUGUAAAUGUUCUGGAGGCCUUGACGAGCACUGUGGAUAAAUUGAAGAAUGGGCUAGUUUAGGAUUUUUCUUUACUUUUUCUUUUAUUAGAUGGGGAGACCUCGAGCCUCUCUCUUGUGUUUAUUUUCCUUUUUUUGUUUAUUUUUAUCUAAAUUUGAAUAUUUUAAAAGUUGACUAGAUCAAGUAUGCAAGUUUACUAGUUACGGGACUUGGGGAGUGCCUCACACCUUCUCCUCGAGUCAACUGAACCCCCAUACUCGAAUCUCUGGUAUAGACUUAGUUUUGGAGUCUCAAGUGUUUUAAAAUAAAAAUUAUUUUUAGAAUAAAUGGUGAUGUGACACAUUAAAAUCAAAUGUUAGUUGGCGACUCUGAGUUAAUCCUUUCGAACACCAUUUUUGUCACUUUUAAAAUUGAAAAACCCUUUUGAGAUAUACAAAUUCCUUCUAUACAUUUUAAGAGGGUGGAGUGAAAUUGGGUAAAAAGGAGGUGUGACCCUCACCUAGAAUUUACACUAAAGGAAUAUAUUUGUGACGACCUGACCCGUCAUCUCAUGAGUUACCGCUUCAUUUCCCCCAUUUUAUGCCUCUCUAUGCUUCGUUAUCAGUAUUUGAUGUGAUCGAGUCGAUUUGGAUUAGUUUUGAUAGAAAUGAGACCAUUAGUCUCUUCAAGGAAGUCUUAGUUUGGAAAAGUCAAUCGGAUAUUGACUUAUGAGUUAUAGGGGUUGGACAUGAUUUCUGGUGAUUUGGUUAGCUUUGGGAGAUGAUUUAUGGCUUAGGAGAGUGAUCGAAAGUGGUUUUGAAAGUCCGAUGUAGAAAUAGGCUUGAAUUGGCGAAGUUAGUAUUUUGGCGAAUUCUGGUUAAUAGGUGACAUUUUGAUCUGAGGGUCGGAAUAGAAUUUCGAGAAUUGCAGUAGCUUCAUUAGGUGAUUUGGAACGUGUGUGCAAAAUUUCAGAUCGUUUGGAGGUGAUUUGAUUAGGUUUUUGAUCGAAUGCGAGUUACGGAAUAUUUUGAAGAACUUAGGCUUGGAUUUGAUGUAAUUCGAUGGUUUUAGCGUUGUUUGAGGUGUUUUGAUGAAUGGAGCCAGUUUUAAUAACGUUUUGGGAUGUAUUGGUAUAUUUGGUUGAGGUCUCAGGGGCCUCGGGGUGAGUUCGGGUGGCUAUUGGGAAGUUUUGGACUUGUGGAAUUGGAAAUUUGUUGUUGCUUCUAGUAUACUCGCUUCAGGGGAUUUGGGACCGCAGAAGCGGUCUCGCAUGUGUUGCAGGGAAGUCGUAGAAGCGGAAAGGAGCUAGACUGGGUUGGAUCAUAGAUGCGUAUAGGGAACUGCACCAGCGAAGCCGCAGAUGCGGCUGAGUGACCGCAGAAGCGAUUCCGCAUAAGUGGAAAUGUGACCGCAGAAGCGAAAAUGACUAGGCAGAGGUAUUUAAGUUCUCCUUCGCGAAUUUUUGAAGAGUUAGUCCUUUUUCACUUCAGACUUGGAGGAUUUUGGACGAUUUUGGAAAGGGAAAUCAAGGGACUUAACGGAAGUAAGGAUGUCUGAACCUAGAAUGCAAUUCUAAGGUGUUAUUACAUGAAUUAAGACUUAAAAAUUAAGGAAUAAAGGGUUAAAAAUAGAGGUUAGGGCAUGGACUUAAGAGAGUUAAUAAUGGGGAUUUGAGAGAUCAAUUGAACCCCAAUUCUUGUGAUAUUGAUAUGUAUGAACUCGUGGCAAGAUAAGAAAUCCAUUGAUGGAAACUUUCUGUGUUUCGAGAAGUGGGCUAAUUCGGGAUUUUCGAUAUUUUUUUAUUGUUUUCGAUUUUGUAUUGAUCCCUUCGCCUAUUAUGACGUAUUCGUUGUGGUUUUUGUCAGAUUCGGUGCACGAGGAGGCCGAUUUGAGAGGCAAGGCAUAGCAAGCUAGAGUUUUGGCCGGCUUGAAGUGAAUAAUGAUUGUAAAUGAUGUUCCGAGGGUUUUAAACCCCGGAUUGCACAACGUAGUGCUACAUUAAGGUGAGACACGCGCUUACUAACGAGCGCGAUAUCGUUUACUAUUGGGGAUUGUGAUUUGGUUUGUCCCGGUUGAUGUUUUACCGCGUAUUUGAUUAAGACUUGUUGUUUUCACCAUGACUUGGGCUUAUUGCCGAUUAUUUGAAAUCCUUUGUGAACUUUUAUCACUGUUUUCCUCAUUAUUUUGACAUAUUACUAGAACUCAGUCCCAUUGAAUUUCAUUGUUUUGCAAAACUCAGCUGCUUUUACUCGAAUUUGAGACUUAAAUGAUAUUAAAAAAUAUUGCUUGAGCUGAGCACUAUUAUUUUACUGAUGCCCAAGGGGCUUGUGAUGAUAUUUUGGACUGAGUGAGGCCGAGGACCAUUUGUGAGGAUAUGUUGCGGGUUGCCCAAGGUCAGUUGAUGUUUUGAAGAUUGACAAAUGAACUCAGGGAUGGACCUGGUCCAUCUUGAGAGACAUAGUUUGUCAUAACCAUUGCACAUGGGAGGCACGUGAGGAAGAUAGGUAUUUAAGAUCACGCAACAAAUAUCUUCUGAACUGAAUCGAAAAUAUUGCAUCGAGUUCUAAGGAGGACGGUCUCCUUUUGAUAAGAGAACACAAUCCUAAGCUAGGAUAAGAGUUGGAGUUCGUAUUGGUUAAGGACUUAAAUCGACUAAAGAUAAGCAUUGGAGUCUAGAUCAAACUCUAACUACUAAUCUAUUAAAUAACCAAGUUGUUCUCUUUUACAGGUAAUGGACAUAUGCAGAAGUAAAGCAUAGUUGAGAGCAAAAGAGAAAGUCUGUUUUGCAAGCAAUAUAUGUGAGACGUAAGUGUGCACGCCUGAAGCUACUUGAACAAGAUAGAAGAACCAGUUCCAUUGUGUUUAUUCUUAUUCUAGUUCAAUUGUAGUAGGUGUUUCAUUUUGUACCUUUCGGCUUUCAUAAAAGCAAUUGUAUUAGGUACUAUGAGUAUUCAAGGUGGAGUUAACUUGAUAGUGUCGUAGCAGUUGAGGCUGUGUGCCAUACUGGGAUUAGAGUUUAAUCCUUAGGUUUACAAAGUGUUUUGUAAAUGUUGUUUUUUGCUCAGUGAUUUUAG